Herpailurus yagouaroundi (jaguarundi) is the source of this 187-nucleotide long non-coding RNA. RefSeq lists it as uncharacterized. Lineage: Eukaryota; Metazoa; Chordata; Mammalia; Carnivora; Felidae. The transcript has 2 exons. The record is from RefSeq and is a predicted model, not a curated record.
CACUGACUACUGAAGAAGCUCUUAUGGUGGCUGGAUGUCAGCCUUGACAAUAACAGCCAAGACACAAAAGGAGUCAGAAACAGUCUUUCAUCUUUUACGCUGAGGAGACGAUGUAGUAGCUUUUUCCUCAUUGCUUUUCAAGAGAAGACCGAUAAAAUUUGACUCAUGAAGAGAGAGAGAGGGGAAA